ACGGGUGAGUAACGCGUGGGAAUCUACCCAUCUCUACGGAACAACUCCGGGAAACUGGAGCUAAUACCGUAUACGUCCUUCGGGAGAAAGAUUUAUCGGAGAUGGAUGAGCCCGCGUUGGAUUAGCUAGUUGGUGGGGUAAUGGCCUACCAAGGCGACGAUCCAUAGCUGGUCUGAGAGGAUGAUCAGCCACAUUGGGACUGAGACACGGCCCAAACUCCUACGGGAGGCACCAGUGGGGAAUAUUGGACAAUGGGCGAAAGCCUGAUCCAGCCAUGCCGCGUGAGUGAUGAAGGCCCUAGGGUUGUAAAGCUCUUUCAACGGUGAAGAUUAUGACGGUCACCGUAGAAGAAGCCCCGGCUAACUUCGUGCCAGCAGCCGCGGUAAUACGAAGGGGGCUAGCGUUGUUCGGAAUUACUGGGCGUAAAGCGCACGUAGGCCGAUUGUUAAGUUAGGGGUGAAAUCCCAGGGCUCAACCCUGGAACUGCCUUUAAUACUGGCAAUCUCGAGUCCGAGAGAGGUGAGUGGAAUUCCGAGUGUACAGGUGAAAUUCGUAGA
This 557-nucleotide ribosomal RNA is filed under the name Mesorhizobium sp. BvORHM052. RNAcentral describes it as "bacterial SSU rRNA". It matches the Rfam family "Bacterial small subunit ribosomal RNA", at positions 102 to 694 of the family's 1533-position model. The record is from RNAcentral. Lineage: Bacteria; Pseudomonadati; Pseudomonadota; Alphaproteobacteria; Hyphomicrobiales; Phyllobacteriaceae.